RNAcentral lists this ribosomal RNA (1554 nucleotides) under Salmonella enterica subsp. enterica serovar Goldcoast. RNAcentral's name for it is "bacterial SSU rRNA". It matches the Rfam family "Bacterial small subunit ribosomal RNA". Lineage: Bacteria; Pseudomonadati; Pseudomonadota; Gammaproteobacteria; Enterobacterales; Enterobacteriaceae. The record is from RNAcentral. RNAcentral also lists the same sequence under 1 other name.
AAAUUGAAGAGUUUGAUCAUGGCUCAGAUUGAACGCUGGCGGCAGGCCUAACACAUGCAAGUCGAACGGUAACAGGAAGCAGCUUGCUGCUUUGCUGACGAGUGGCGGACGGGUGAGUAAUGUCUGGGAAACUGCCUGAUGGAGGGGGAUAACUACUGGAAACGGUGGCUAAUACCGCAUAACGUCGCAAGACCAAAGAGGGGGACCUUCGGGCCUCUUGCCAUCAGAUGUGCCCAGAUGGGAUUAGCUAGUUGGUGAGGUAACGGCUCACCAAGGCGACGAUCCCUAGCUGGUCUGAGAGGAUGACCAGCCACACUGGAACUGAGACACGGUCCAGACUCCUACGGGAGGCAGCAGUGGGGAAUAUUGCACAAUGGGCGCAAGCCUGAUGCAGCCAUGCCGCGUGUAUGAAGAAGGCCUUCGGGUUGUAAAGUACUUUCAGCGGGGAGGAAGGUGUUGUGGUUAAUAACCGCAGCAAUUGACGUUACCCGCAGAAGAAGCACCGGCUAACUCCGUGCCAGCAGCCGCGGUAAUACGGAGGGUGCAAGCGUUAAUCGGAAUUACUGGGCGUAAAGCGCACGCAGGCGGUCUGUCAAGUCGGAUGUGAAAUCCCCGGGCUCAACCUGGGAACUGCAUUCGAAACUGGCAGGCUUGAGUCUUGUAGAGGGGGGUAGAAUUCCAGGUGUAGCGGUGAAAUGCGUAGAGAUCUGGAGGAAUACCGGUGGCGAAGGCGGCCCCCUGGACAAAGACUGACGCUCAGGUGCGAAAGCGUGGGGAGCAAACAGGAUUAGAUACCCUGGUAGUCCACGCCGUAAACGAUGUCUACUUGGAGGUUGUGCCCUUGAGGCGUGGCUUCCGGAGCUAACGCGUUAAGUAGACCGCCUGGGGAGUACGGCCGCAAGGUUAAAACUCAAAUGAAUUGACGGGGGCCCGCACAAGCGGUGGAGCAUGUGGUUUAAUUCGAUGCAACGCGAAGAACCUUACCUGGUCUUGACAUCCACGGAAGUUUUCAGAGAUGAGAAUGUGCCUUCGGGAACCGUGAGACAGGUGCUGCAUGGCUGUCGUCAGCUCGUGUUGUGAAAUGUUGGGUUAAGUCCCGCAACGAGCGCAACCCUUAUCCUUUGUUGCCAGCGGUUAGGCCGGGAACUCAAAGGAGACUGCCAGUGAUAAACUGGAGGAAGGUGGGGAUGACGUCAAGUCAUCAUGGCCCUUACGACCAGGGCUACACACGUGCUACAAUGGCGCAUACAAAGAGAAGCGACCUCGCGAGAGCAAGCGGACCUCAUAAAGUGCGUCGUAGUCCGGAUUGGAGUCUGCAACUCGACUCCAUGAAGUCGGAAUCGCUAGUAAUCGUGGAUCAGAAUGCCACGGUGAAUACGUUCCCGGGCCUUGUACACACCGCCCGUCACACCAUGGGAGUGGGUUGCAAAAGAAGUAGGUAGCUUAACCUUCGGGAGGGCGCUUACCACUUUGUGAUUCAUGACUGGGGUGAAGUCGUAACAAGGUAACCGUAGGGGAACCUGCGGUUGGAUCACCUCCUUACCUUAAAGAAGC